CUGGGUGUAGCUCAGGGGCAGAGCUCAUAAUUAAAAGGUAAGAAGCUCUGGGUUCGAUUCCUAGCACCCUAA
This 72-nucleotide transfer RNA is filed under the name Erinaceus europaeus (western European hedgehog). It matches the Rfam family "tRNA". Rfam says of the family: Transfer RNA (tRNA) molecules are approximately 80 nucleotides in length. Lineage: Eukaryota; Metazoa; Chordata; Mammalia; Eulipotyphla; Erinaceidae. The record is from Rfam by way of RNAcentral.